AGUGAACGCUGGCGGCAGGCCUAAUACAUGCAAGUCGAACGAACGCACAGUAAGCGUUCGCCUUUAAGGUUGGCGGCUGGCGGAUGAGUAAGACGUACAUCACAAUCCUAUUAUACGUGGAGAACUACGGGAGACAACAUCUGAUACCACAGAAUAUGUUCUACGGCAGGAUGCAGGGGUUCAAGGCACCUUUGCUGUUUCUAUGAGCUGGAGUCGGGCCGGAUUAGCUAGUUGGUAAGGUAACGGCCCACCAAGGCAACGAUCCGUAGCCGACCUGAGAGGAUGAUCAGCCACACUGGAACUGAGACACGGUCCAGACUCCUACGGGAGGCAGCAGUGGGGAAUAUUCGACAAUGGGCGCAGGCCUGAUCGAGCCAUACCGCGUGAGUGAAGAAGGCCUUCGGGUUGUAAAACCCUGUUAUUAGGAAAGAAAAGCAGCGUAUGAAUACCCCGCUGUUCUGACGGUACCCAAAGAGAAAGCACCGGCUAACUUCGUG
Molecule: ribosomal RNA, 497 nt
Filed under: uncultured bacterium
Lineage: Bacteria
Description: partial 16S ribosomal RNA
Rfam family: Bacterial small subunit ribosomal RNA
Source: RNAcentral